GCGGCUGUAGCUCAGUGGAUAGAGUAUUGGCCUCCGAAGCCAAGGGUCGUGGGUUCUGAUCCCCGCCAGCCGCACCA
RNAcentral lists this transfer RNA (77 nucleotides) under Massilia sp. H-1. RNAcentral's name for it is "tRNA-Arg". It matches the Rfam family "tRNA". Rfam says of the family: Transfer RNA (tRNA) molecules are approximately 80 nucleotides in length. Their secondary structure includes four short double-helical elements and three loops (D, anti-codon, and T loops). Lineage: Bacteria; Pseudomonadati; Pseudomonadota; Betaproteobacteria; Burkholderiales; Oxalobacteraceae. The record is from RNAcentral.